GAUGAACGCUAGCGAUAGGCUUAACACAUGCAAGUCGAGGGGUAACGUGUUGGAAGCUUGCUUCCGAUGACGACGACCGGCGGAUGGGUGCGUAACGCGUAUGCAACUUGCCUCACAGUGGAGAAUAACCCGGAGAAAUCCGGACUAAUACUCCAUACACUCUUAAGUACGCCUGUACUUGAGAGGAAAGAUUUAUCGCUGUGAGAUAGGCAUGCGUCCUAUUAGGUAGUUGGUGAGGUAACGGCUCACCAAGCCGACGAUAGGUAGGGGUGCUGAGAGGCAGAUCCCCCACAUUGGGACUGAGACACAGCCCAAACUCCUACGGGAGGCAGCAGUGAGGAAUAUUGGUCAAUGGAGGAAACUCUGAACCAGCCAAGUCGCGUGAAGGAAGAAUGUCCUAAGGAUUGUAAACUUCUUUAGCGAGCGAGUAAGGACUUCCACGUGAUGGGAGUUUGAAAGUAGCUCGAGAAUAAGUAUCGGCUAACUCCGUG
Molecule: ribosomal RNA, 491 nt
Filed under: uncultured bacterium
Lineage: Bacteria
Description: partial 16S ribosomal RNA
Rfam family: Bacterial small subunit ribosomal RNA
Source: RNAcentral